AUGAAGCCAGCUUGCUGGUGGAUUAGUGGCGAACGGGUGAGUAACACGUGAGUAACCUGCCCUUAACUCUGGGAUAAGCCUGGGAAACUGGGUCUAAUACCGGAUAUGACUCCUCAUCGCAUGGUGGGGGGUGGAAAGCUUUUUGUGGUUUUGGAUGGACUCGCGGCCUAUCAGCUUGUUGGUGAGGUAAUGGCUCACCAAGGCGACGACGGGUAGCCGGCCUGAGAGGGUGACCGGCCACACUGGGACUGAGACACGGCCCAGACUCCUACGGGAGGCAGCAGUGGGGAAUAUUGCACAAUGGGCGCAAGCCUGAUGCAGCGACGCCGCGUGAGGGAUGACGGCCUUCGGGUUGUAAACCUCUUUCAGUAGGGAAGAAGCGAAAGUGACGGUACCUGCAGAAGAAGCGCCGGCUAACUACGUGCCAGCAGCCGCGGUAAUACGUAGGGCGCAAGCGUUAUCCGGAAUUAUUGGGCGUAAAGAGCUCGUAGGCGGUUUGUCGCGUCUGCCGUGAAAGUCCGGGGCUCAACUCCGGAUCUGCGGUGGGUACGGGCAGACUAGAGUGAUGUAGGGGAGACUGGAAUUCCUGGUGUAGCGGUGAAAUGCGCAGAUAUCAGGAGGAACACCGAUGGCGAAGGCAGGUCUCUGGGCAUUAACUGACGCUGAGGAGCGAAAGCAUGGGGAGCGAACAGGAUUAGAUACCCUGGUAGUCCAUGCCGUAAACGUUGGGCACUAGGUGUGGGGGACAU
RNAcentral lists this ribosomal RNA (749 nucleotides) under Micrococcaceae bacterium. RNAcentral's name for it is "bacterial SSU rRNA". It matches the Rfam family "Bacterial small subunit ribosomal RNA", at positions 69 to 832 of the family's 1533-position model. The record is from RNAcentral. Lineage: Bacteria; Bacillati; Actinomycetota; Actinomycetes; Micrococcales; Micrococcaceae.